CAAAGCAGAGGGCCCCUCAAGAAUCUUUUAUAAGUUGGAGGGCUGAGAAAGCAUCCAAAGAAUAAGGCUUUUUCCUUUUCUUUUUAACACAUUUGGUCGCAGUGGGAAUCAUUCAUUGACUAGACUAAUGCUAAUGCUAGCUGCUGCUGCUUCAAACUCAAAGCAACAGAAGUUCUACAAAGUCUCAAUCUGAUCUAAUACCGAAGGUUUGGAAUCUCACCUGCCUCCUUUCUUUUAUCAAAUUCCAAGUGUUUUUUCUUCAGAUUUGUUCUAAAUUCCAAGAAAAUCUUAGAAAUUUCAACAAGAAAUGAUCCAGUGUCGAGAAAGGGUAUUUUUGAGAUAAGAUUGAUUAGAGUAAGGAGAAGUCAUAGAUCUUAUUUACUACAAGCAGAUGAUAGUCGACUGGUUAUUAGAUGAAGACGGUGACCUUGGACUUGGUAAAAUUUUUCUAGUUGGCCUGGGGGGCAUUGGGAAACCAAUAUUUACCUGUGUCUGGUUCAACCUGGAUCAAAGGAGCCAUUGCUUGAAAAAAAAAAUUUGCUUUUGUCGGAUGAUGUAUGGAACAGUACAACUAUCAACCGUUCAUUGACAUCAGAUCCUUUUGAAAUAGGAGCACAAGGAAGCAAAAUCACACUUAUUUGCAAGAGGUGAUCAAUUUUUUUUUAAAUUUAAAAAAAAUAAAAUCAUGAAUUGAAAUUGUAAGACUAAGAAGUCGUAAAAUAGAAGUAGUUAGGAAAAGAACUGCAAAGAUGUAUGGAUGGAGACAUGUCAAAUAGGAAGUUGUGGGAAUUGCUGCUGCAUAGCACUCUCUGCUUUGUUUUUGAUGUAUUGAAAUUGGAAAGAAGAAAUUAAUUGCUUUCAAGGAUGUAUGGAAAGGAUUCCUUUCGAAUUAGGAUGAAAGCCGGUGUUAUAAAGUUGGAUGGGAUGCCUUCACAGCCUUGUUUCCAGUAGCCAGGAAGACAUGGCACUUGACAAUAUUUCAUGAAGACAAAAAAAUGCAAGGGAAGAUGCUUCUUACAUGGAAAGAUUUUAAAGAGUGGGACGCUGGUAAUGAAAGAGGACCAAAGGAUUGAUGUUGUUUUGCUUAGUGAUUGAGCUACAGUUAUCUUCUGCCUUAGCUAUUGCAGAAGGCCUUCUUUGAAUUUCAAGGAUAUAAUAUAUAUGUACUCCACCAGGAAUUCUGCAGCCUCACUUCUUCAA
This is a long non-coding RNA of Vitis vinifera (wine grape), 1200 nucleotides long. RefSeq lists it as uncharacterized. The transcript is spliced from 2 exons. The record is from RefSeq and is a predicted model, not a curated record. Lineage: Eukaryota; Viridiplantae; Streptophyta; Magnoliopsida; Vitales; Vitaceae.